GUGGCCUGCCGGCCUUUUGGCCAAGAUCAUGUGUAGCAUCUGUUCUUAUCAGUUUAAUAUUCGAUACGCCCCCUCAUCUGGGGGUCCAUAUAUUAAAUUAUCUGGAAACAGGAGAUUGAAUAGGGCCGCCCGCCCACCCACCAUCUAAUUCCGGAGCUGCAGCACUUGCGAGUGUGAAUUCUCU
Polypterus senegalus (gray bichir) is the source of this 184-nucleotide small nuclear RNA. RefSeq annotates it as U2 spliceosomal RNA. The record is from RefSeq and is a predicted model, not a curated record. NCBI's taxonomy places the organism in Eukaryota, Metazoa, Chordata, Cladistia, Polypteriformes, Polypteridae. The transcript has a single exon.